AUCUGCCCUGCACUUCGGGACAAGCCCUGGAAACGGGGUCUAAUACCGGAUACUCACCGCCUUCCGCAUGGGGGGUGGUGGAAAGCUCCGGCGGUGCAGGAUGAGCCCGCGGCCUAUCAGCUUGUUGGUGGGGUAGUGGCCCACCAAGGCGACGACGGGUAGCCGGCCUGAGAGGGCGACCGGCCACACUGGGACUGAGACACGGCCCAGACUCCUACGGGAGGCAGCAGUGGGGAAUAUUGCACAAUGGGCGAAAGCCUGAUGCAGCGACGCCGCGUGAGGGAUGACGGCCUUCGGGUUGUAAACCUCUUUCAGCAGGGAAGAAGCGAGAGUGACGGUACCUGCAGAAGAAGCACCGGCUAACUACGUGCCAGCAGCCGCGGUAAUACGUAGGGUGCGAGCGUUGUCCGGAAUUAUUGGGCGUAAAGAGCUCGUAGGCGGCCUGUUGCGUCGGUUGUGAAAGCCCGG
Molecule: ribosomal RNA, 468 nt
Filed under: Streptomyces sp. 7CM26
Lineage: Bacteria; Bacillati; Actinomycetota; Actinomycetes; Kitasatosporales; Streptomycetaceae
Description: bacterial SSU rRNA
Rfam family: Bacterial small subunit ribosomal RNA
Source: RNAcentral